CAGAAGUUAAUUAAAUAGUACGGCUUCUAAAAUAUCUAGUUUCCUGAGCGCCUAUAAUCUACUGGAACAUACUAAGAUACUCAAACGAACAUAGAACACAUUAAAACAGCUAAAUUUUGCUGCCUUCAUUAUUAUUUCUAUUGCGAGCAAGCAAGUCACGAGUCAGAGACACUAAACGUAAGUUUUUUCUUAAAAGCUAUCAUUAAAUUACCCUAAUCAAGAUAUAAUGAAAUGAAACAAAACACACCUACUAUGUACAACAUAAACUUACUCUACUGUACAA
Aedes aegypti (yellow fever mosquito) is the source of this 283-nucleotide long non-coding RNA. RefSeq lists it as uncharacterized. The record is from RefSeq and is a predicted model, not a curated record. Lineage: Eukaryota; Metazoa; Arthropoda; Insecta; Diptera; Culicidae. The transcript is spliced from 3 exons.